GCCCUCGUGGUGCAGAUGCUUAAACACUUGACUGCUAACCAAAAGGUUGGUGGUUUGAACCCACCCAGAGGCU
RNAcentral lists this transfer RNA (73 nucleotides) under Loxodonta africana (African savanna elephant). It matches the Rfam family "tRNA". From Rfam's summary of the family: Transfer RNA (tRNA) molecules are approximately 80 nucleotides in length. Their secondary structure includes four short double-helical elements and three loops (D, anti-codon, and T loops). The record is from Rfam by way of RNAcentral. Lineage: Eukaryota; Metazoa; Chordata; Mammalia; Proboscidea; Elephantidae.